RNAcentral lists this ribosomal RNA (468 nucleotides) under uncultured bacterium. RNAcentral's name for it is "partial 16S ribosomal RNA". It matches the Rfam family "Bacterial small subunit ribosomal RNA", at positions 28 to 507 of the family's 1533-position model. The record is from RNAcentral.
GACGAACGCUGGCGGCGUGCUUAACACAUGCAAGUCGAACGGAAAGGCCCUGCUUUUGUGGGGUGCUCGAGUGGCGAACGGGUGAGUAACACGUGAGUAACCUGCCCUUGACUUUGGGAUAACUUCAGGAAACUGGGGCUACUACCGGAUAGGAGCUCCUGCUGCAUGGUGGGGGUUGGAAAGUUUCGGCGGUUGGGGAUGGACUCGCGGCUUAUCAGCUUGUUGGUGGGGUAGUGGCUUACCAAGGCUUUGACGGGUAGCCGGCCUGAGAGGGUGACCGGCCACAAUGGGACUGAGAGAGGGACCAGACUGCUACGGGAGGCAGAAGUGGGGAAUAUUGCACAAUGGGCGGAAGCGUGAUGCAGCAACGCCGCGUGCGGGAUGACGGCCUUCGGGGUGUAAACCGCUGUCGGCUGUGACGAAGCGUGAGUGACGGUAAUGGGUAAAGAAGCACCGGCUAACUACGUG